RNAcentral lists this ribosomal RNA (253 nucleotides) under uncultured bacterium. RNAcentral's name for it is "partial 16S ribosomal RNA". It matches the Rfam family "Bacterial small subunit ribosomal RNA", at positions 524 to 776 of the family's 1533-position model. The record is from RNAcentral.
UACGGAGGGUGCGAGCGUUAUUCGGAAUUAUUGGGCGUAAAGGGCGCGUAGGCGGUUUGGUAAGUCAGGUGUGAAAUCCCGGGGCUUAACCCCGGAAGUGCAUUUGAGACUGCCAGACUUGAGUAUGGGAGAGGGAAGUGGAAUUCCUGGUGUAGAGGUGAAAUUCGUAGAUAUCAGGAGGAACACCGGUGGCGAAGGCGGCUUCCUGGACCAAUACUGACGCUGAGGCGCGAAGGCGUGGGGAGCAAACAGG